AAUAAAUAUUAUAGAUACUUGGUAUUUAACAUUUGAAUUUUAUAAGAUUUUAAUUAUUCGUCUUGCGUUGUAUAUAAAUUUACAUAUUUUUAAUUAAAAAAAAGUUAUAACCCGACAACUCAAUCCCGAAUUAUUGGGUUUGGUUGGAUUGAAAACUUUAUUAGGAUUCUUUGGAUUAUCAUCCCAAUCAACCUGAAUUUUCAGGUUGAUCCAAAAAAAUAUCCUCAAUCUAAUUCAUGUACAUCUUUAAUGGAAAUUUUCCGCGAAAUUAAUUUGUAUUCAUAUGUAAAUAACUUUAUUCUAAGGGGAAAAAAAGCAGGAAAAUGAAAUAUACACAAAUCUAUAUUACAAAAGUAAACAAGAAUUUCAUUCAUGAUUUUCCUUUUAAAAAGGAUAAUAUAAAAUAUUUGCUCUACUUUUUUCUUGUUUUCAUCCUCAAGCAAUUUUCCUCAACUGCCAUGAAAUUGGAUAACCUUUCAUCCAAAUGCUUGACAUCCAUAAACUUCUGGCUAAUAUCAAGUUGUUUUUAAAAUUUAUGACGUAAUUAUAAAUAUCUGAAAUUAAAAUUAAAGUUGAAAAUAUGGUCAAUCUCAAAUAAUAUUACGUGUCUUUUGCCGAAGAAGUUGGCACAAAAGGAAGGGAGAGGAAUAUCACGUGUCUUUUGUCAAAAAUAGUACCCUCAACUUUUCAUCUUUCAAAACUAGCACAUUUCUUGAAAAGUCGGUAAAUUAAUUUUUCUCAGGGAUCUCGAACGAGAUUGACCACCAGAUUCAGUUAUAAAAAUUUACUUUUUCUAACUUAUCUACAUCUCGAAUAUUUGGUGUUUUGGUAAUUUUUCCAAAUAUUAGAUAAUCUAUCCAAAUCCUAUACCAAAUCUUAUAUAUUCUCAAAUUUUUCAAAUUCGGUUAUCUUUACCGAAUAUUAUAUUCAAUUCUUAUGUAAUUUUAGGUCAAUUUCUGUUUACAUGAUUAUAUGAAUUUCUAAAUUUUCAAAUGAAUUUACCCAUUAGAUUUUAUGAUUGCAUUUUGAUUUUUAAAUUUUGGGAUAAAUUACAUUUUGUGGAAAAAAAGGUAAGAUAUGGAAAAUAUAUAAAAUCUCGGUGUUAAUUUUUUUGAGAUUCAUAUCGAUAUUUUAUAUAUUUUCCAUAUUUUACCUUUUUUUGAAAAUUUAUUUUUUCCAAAAAUUUAAAAAUCAAAAUAGACCCAUCUAAAAAAAUUCAUUUGGAUAACUGGUAAAUUGAUAUGGAAAUUAGAAAUUUGGCUAUAUAUUUAAAAAUUACGUAAGAUUUUGAUAUAAUAUUUGGUAAAUAUAAUCGAAUUUGGAGAAAAAUUGAAAUUAUAUAAGAUUUGGUAUAAGAUUUAGGAAGAUCAAUCAUAUUUUGGAAAAAUUACUAGAAUCUCGAUGUAAUCUGAGAUGUACCAAGAAAGGCCUAAAAGGGCCAAAACAAUCGAUAGGUUAGAAAAAACUAAUUUUUUAAACUAAAUUUCGGUGGUCGAUCUAAGGAUCAAGAAAAGUUAUUUGAACGAGUUUUCAAAAAGAGAGCUAGUUUUAUAAGGUGAAAACUCAAGAAUAUUAUUUCGGACAAUUUUUCGAAGAGAGACAACCUUGGAAGAAAGAAACUUUUAUUAUGAACGUAGACACUUUUGAGAGAAUACUUUUUCACUCUCUCAAGACACACUUACUCACUUUUCACUCUUAUAGGCAGAGAUCCUUGGAGCCCAAGAAAAAUGAUCUCUCUAGAUUAUUCUUGGAUUCUAAAUAUCUAGAUUUUUUUUUAUUUAUUCUUAUCUAGAGGAGCUCCAUAAUUCUUUAACCUAAAGAAAGCCUAGUAUAUUUGUAGACUUUUCUUUGAGAUAUUUAUUUACAUACUUCUACAUAAUUCUAGAGAAAUCUAAUUUCCAUAUUUAUGUCAUAUGGUAGAUACUUCAAGAAUCUUCUAGAAUAGUAGUGCUAUCUUCUACUUCAACACUCCCUUCAACGCUAACCAUUCUAGCUCUUUCCAACAUCUCGAAUUAUUGUUGGAAUUUUGCAUGCUUAGAUGCUCUUAGCCUUCUGACACUAUGUCCCAAUGUUGAUGUCUGCUAAAUGUGUCCACUUCUUCUUCUAUGGCCUUUCUCCAUUGGAUAUUCUGUGACGCAUCUUCAUAUGUUAUUGGUUCCUGAAAUAUUGCUAACACCGCAUUCACGUACUUAGAAUUCGAUUUUUUUAGUCUUGUUGAUCUAGGACCAAAUACGUCUGGCUGCAUCAACUCCAAUGGUUGCUUUACUCUGAAUUUGGACUUCUUGAAUGGCAGUUGAUUGACAACCAACUCAAACCAUGUCUCUUUUUUAUAUCAAGUCGAGGAAGCCUCUUAAGCAUAGACUUGUUUAUCAUUGCCUUCAAUUUGCUGUUGCUAAUAUGACCAAGUCUUGCAUGCCAAAAAUCUGUUGUUUCAUUCUUUCGUGUUUUAUUCACGUAGGUGAUCUCUGUUGACAUGAUGUAGACUGAGUCCAUUCUUCAUCCUUCCAUCAAUGGCGUAUCAUUGACUUUGAGAUUAUGGUACACCUUAACAUUAUCAGGCCCAAAUAUGACAAAGUUGCCUACUGAUGUCAAUUGAGAUACUGACACCAAAUUCUUCUUCAUUUCAGGCACAUAAAACACGUUCUCUAAGUCCACUUGAAUGGAAUUAGAACAAGGUAUUAUCAGAGUUUUGCCAACAUGGGUUGUUGGAAACUUUGAGUUGUUUGCAGUUACAAUAACUCAGCUUCCUUUGUACUCAUAUGUGUUUUGUAGCUUCCUCUUAUCUCCUGUCGUGUGGUUAAAGCAACUUGGAUUGACAAUCCAAACAUUUUCAUAAUUUACCUCUUCUACGUUGAGAGCCAACAAUUGCUUCUCCACCACAUUGGAUGUGGACUGGUGGUUGGGAUCUAUUGUUUCAAAGCAUACCUCUGCAUCCUAUUCUUCUUCACUAAUGCUCUCAGCGUGGGAAGUGACUGUAUUGUUUUCUGUUGCCUUUUUCUUUCGACGACAAUCUUUGUCAUAGUGGCCUAUCUUUCCACAGUUAUAACAUUCACCCUUUUGUUUAUGCUCAUUAUUUUAAUUAGUAUUACUAGCUCCCCCUACUUGACAGUGUUUUGCAGUUUCUUCAUCUUCUUUUGAUCUUACUUUCUUUUGAUAUUUUAAUUGACCUUUUUCUUUGGCCACCAAAGAGCGCUUUUUUGUUGUUGCUCUUUAUCGUGACCUUCAAUAUUUUCUUAGCGAAUGAUUCUUGACUAGCAAGCAUAUUUUCUAGGUCCACUAGAGAAUGUUGGACUACACCAACCUUGAAUAGCAACAAUAAAGCUUCUAUAUUCAGGUUUAAGUCCAUAAUAAUAAUUCUUCUCAUCCUUGAUUUUGAAAUAGUGGAUAUAAUUCAGAUAUUUUACGACAUAGAAUUUUUAUCUUGGUGGAGUAUUGUUUGAUAGUCAUCUCCCUUUGAGAACCUGACAAGAGCUCGUUCUCUAGAAGUUGCAAUCUCGCAUCAUUUUUCUUUGAGAAAAUUGAGGCAAACGUCUCAUGCUACCUUUGGUGUCUCCAUUGUAUUGAUGUGUCCUAACAUUUCUUCAUCAAAUAUAGUUUUAAUUGCAAACAUGGCGUUACCUACCUUGAUAUUCCAUUUCUUCAAAGCAGUAACAUUCUCAAAUGAACUGACUUCAGUGUCUCCCACAACAUCCUAUAAGUCUUGGCCUUGGAGAUACGACUUCAUGCAUGUGGAUCAUGUUUUGUAGUUUUGAGUGUUGAGCUUCUUGAUUCCUCCAACAACUUGAAGGUCUCCCAUCAUCUUAUAGUGAUGAAUGCGCUCCACGAGUAGUUGUGUCCCAGACAAUAAGCUUCACAAUCCCAGACUGUACUCGAUCUUCAAAAGCUCCACCACAGCAGGCUAUGCUAGCUUGGCUCUAAUACCAUUUGUUGAAGAAAUUGGUACAAAAAGAAGAGAUACAAUCUUGGAAGAAAGAAACCUUUAUUAUGAAUGUACAAGGUUGGACACUUUUGAGAGAAUACUUUUUCACUCUCUCAAGACACACUUACUCACUUUUCAAUAUAGGAUUCUCUCUAACUCUCUUGCUUUUCUUUCUUCCCCUUUUGCUUACUUGCUUUACAAAUGAGAGCACAACUAUUAUUUAUAGACAUGAGAUCCUUGGAGGUCAAAUAAAAGGAUCUCUCUAGAUUAUUUUUUGAUUCUAAAUAUCUAGAUAUUUCUUGGUUUAUUCUUAUCUAGAAGAAUUCUCUAAAAUUCUUUAACCUAAAGAAAGCCUAGGAUAUUUAUACUUUUCUUUGAGAUAUUUAUUUACAUACUUCAAUGUAAUUCUA
This is a non-coding RNA of Benincasa hispida (wax gourd), 4329 nucleotides long. NCBI's taxonomy places the organism in Eukaryota, Viridiplantae, Streptophyta, Magnoliopsida, Cucurbitales, Cucurbitaceae. The record is from RefSeq and is a predicted model, not a curated record.